GCCCCUGACAGGUGGGCCCCACCUGUCAGCGGGUGCGGGCGAGCGGCUGGGCCGGCGGGGCUGCGGCGCGCGCGAGGGAUUGGGCCAGUUCGGCCCAAAGUCGCCGGGCCGAUCCGUUUGCUCCUUUUUUUUUCUUUUACCCUUUUCUUAUUUCUUUGAUAUCUUUUGAUUUUGAACUCCAAAUUGGUCCAAACAAAUUCCAGAAAAUUUGUAAAAUCAUGUUCUAUCAUGAUACAACUUUUGGGAGUAGUUUCCCCUCAAAAUAAAAUAUAUAAAAAUACUUUUUCCCUAUAAAUGCCUUUCGGGCCAUAUAUCUAAAUAAAAUAUUUUUUCAACUCCAAAUAAUUAUGCCAAAAAUUUUGGGAUAGCUUAUAUAUGCAUUAAACCCCUUUUAUGCAUAACCCUUUUGGUUUGAAAAAAAUUCCAAAGCCA
This 432-nucleotide long non-coding RNA is filed under the name Brachypodium distachyon (stiff brome). RNAcentral's name for it is "long non-coding RNA (BDIS_LNC003503)". Lineage: Eukaryota; Viridiplantae; Streptophyta; Magnoliopsida; Poales; Poaceae. The record is from RNAcentral.